GUGCUCUUCUGGGUGGCCGCCAUUCGUAUGAACGAAUGCAUGUGUUAUGUGGAAUGGUGGUCAUUUUGUCUUGCGAAUGCAGGCAACGAUACUCAGACGUUGAAUGCCUGUAACUGAAAUCAGACACGCUAUCUCACAAACACUGCUGAACUUGAACUGGCACCUACUUCUUCCCCAAAUAGGUCAGGAGAGUGCUUUUUGGGAAAAGGACUUAUAUGAACAUGAGGAACAUUCGCUCACUAGGGGCAAGCAUUUGGUUUUAUACGCACAGGAACUCCCGAAUGGAGACCGGCCACAGCCUAUUUCAUCAUGGAACUGUUUUGGGCUACAACCUCUUGGCCUGCUGCUCAAAACUUUACCCGGAUGGUGAUUCUGUUUCACCAAACUUAUCUGAGCGGUAUUUGGACAACCUGGGCACUCAGAUCUGGGCUAUCUGGGGAUUUAAGACUUGAGGGCUUCCUGUUGAAAUUCAGUGUGGUUUUCUGGUAUUUUCUACAUGGGUCCCUGUAACUGAGAGAUAAUUAAGUUACUGGACUUUGACUCAAUUAUCUCCCAGACACAGGGAUGCCUCGGAGGGGUUUGUAUUUCAUUGUAUGGAGACCCCAUGCUGGG
This is a non-coding RNA of Pelobates cultripes (western spadefoot toad), 612 nucleotides long. The record is from the annotation of a GenBank genome assembly. NCBI's taxonomy places the organism in Eukaryota, Metazoa, Chordata, Amphibia, Anura, Pelobatidae.